GGUUGCGAUCAUACCAGCACUAAUGCACCGCAUCCAUCAGAACUUCGCAGUUAAGCGUGCUAGGGUGUGAGUAGUACUAGGAUGGGUGACCCCCUGGGAAUUCCUCGUGUUGCAACCCC
Molecule: ribosomal RNA, 119 nt
Filed under: Helianthus annuus (common sunflower)
Lineage: Eukaryota; Viridiplantae; Streptophyta; Magnoliopsida; Asterales; Asteraceae
Source: RNAcentral